UUUUUUUAAAAGAUUGCGCGCAAUCGAAUAGUCUUAGUAAUAUCGGCGAUGUGUUUAAAGAUGCCUAAUUAAAUUCCGCGUUUCGUUUUAUUUGAAUUUGUCCCUAAAUUUUGCUGAAAUGCAAGCAAAAAUCAGUUUAAUUCUAACGUUCUUUAUCGGUAACUGUUUGUUUACGUUUUGUUUUGAAUUGUGCCGGUUUCAUACAUUAAUAACAUGGAUAGUGUAUUUCAGCAAAGAAAGUGAGAUAGCAAUAUUUCUUGUAUAAUUGCUAUAUGAGUUGUUAGAGCGGGAGGGGUAUAGAAGUUGUAUGUUCACUAUCCAUUUUGUGUAUAUGAUCCGGGCUAGUAAAAAAUCUAUUCAGGUCAUUUUGUUUAUUAGAGUGACAUGAAGAGAAUGGAACUUUCGUGAGUUAGAGUGAGACAACGAAAUUGCUUCACAAUCAAUGUAGUUUAUAUGAUCCUGCUGGAUUUUCGGCUCGACCUUGCUCGGUUCAAGUUUUCAGUGAGUGCCGGUCCGCGAGCGGUUCCUGCGCGUCGCCAUGUUUGUUGCGAUUUUAGUUUCGUAAAAUGUGUUGUGUUUCGCAGUGCCGUCGAUUGACUAUGAGUUAACUUGUUGUGCGGAAUAAUGGUCUCGACACACGUUCUUAGGGGUAUUAAUUCGCGGUAGAUUCGAUUGGAUUUAAGCAAUUUUGGGUCUUAUCGCGAAUAGUUGCGUGCUGACGCGGCGUGCUCGGCUUACGCGGUGCGCUUAGUUUUGCGCCGGCCAUUGCUCGAGUCGGAAAUGUUUCUCGCGGCUGCAAUCGUUUUCGUUUUGUGUUUGUAAUUCGGUAAAUCGCGUUGGGAAUCGCGUUUUAUUUUCUUAAAUUGUGCUUUGUGUUUCUUCACCGCCGAUAUUUAGAGAUAUUUAGUAAUUUUUCGUUUUCGUGUGUGAGUGAAUCCGUCGGCUCUUGCCGUAGUGGCAUUUUUGUUCCAGGAACGCCGGCCAUCAUGUUCUUGUUCCAAGGAAUUGGAAACCGAGAAAGAAUCUUCUUGGUGAAUUCUGCGCGAAAUAUGUGGCCGAGGAUCGUUUUCUAAUCGACGGAAUUGUGGAACAGUGAUUUGGCUGCGGGUUGUGACCGUCAUCAUGACUAUGUUCCAGUUAUCUUCAAGCACGCCGGAAAAAGUUUUUAUGUCGGAGGUCUCCCGCGUCUCGAGUAUGGUUUGCCGUUCGACAAAAUUGCAGCUCAUCGAACUUCCUACGACAUCUACGAAAGAGAAGUCUACCGGCGGGUGAAGACCUUGGUGAAGAGCAACUGCCCUACGACGGAUUUCUCGGACCGCUGAUGAUACAAAAAUACCUGCGCCCUUUUUUGCGUAUCUUGCAAUAACUUUUUGCGCCUAUUAUUUAAAAGCGAACAGGUGACAGACGCAUUAUUUUUCAAACCAGUUCAAUUAAUGCGCACAUGGGAGAACAAAAAAAACUUUUAAACCACGAACGCAUUCUCUAAGUUCACUUAUAAUUAGAAUUGUAUAUAUUUAGGGACCUUUAACCAUUAAUUUGAUGAAUCCUAGUGGAGUAACAUGCAGUGUAAACUCUUUAUAACGAUGGUCAAUUGUUGUGUAAUUAGUUUUUACUUCAAUUUGCUCAUUAGUUCAUUUAAAGACAUAUUGUAAAGUUAUCAAGAGUUUAUAUUGUAAUGCCAAUUUUGUCGCGUCACGACUUGAACUGAAAACUGGUAGUGCUGUCUCUGAAUCGCUAUUACUUGUAAUCAUGUACUUUGUUGUCUGCGCUUUAUUUGUUAGAUGUAAUACGGAUAUGGGUAUUGGGUAACUGUCGCACUGUUGUCUAGCUUUAGCUCGUGAGGGGGGCGCCUUAGAAUUUUCAAGGAAUUUAACUUGCGGGGUGAAAUUGCUACUUUUUCGGUAAAGCUCGCGAGAAGAAUGUUUGCUUCAAUUAUUAGCGGGCUCUAGAGAUAUCCAAUUAGAUUCGUGUUGUAUUAGUUUGUUGUAAAAGUAGUUGCAACAUGUUCAAAUUUGAAAAUCGGGUGGUUCAGUGGGAUUUUCACUUCAAGUAUGAAAUUGUUUUAGUAUUUUUGUUAUAGCUCGCGAAUGGGGCGGCUCAGAAUUUUCAGCGCGGUCUCUAGAGUCGAAUUAGAUUCUUCGCGUUGUUGUAUUAGUUUGUUGCUGAAGUUGCAUCUGCAACAUAUGUAAAUUUAAAAAUUAAGCGGUUCAGUUAGAUUUUUAGCCACAGGAUAAAAUUGUAGACGUUUUUUCUAUAUAGCUUGCGAGGGGGGCGGCUCAGAAUUUUUAGCGCGAUUUCUAGAGACAUAGAAUUAAAUUGUCCGCGUGGACAAUAGGGUGGUAAAUUCGAAAUUAGGGUGCUUUAAUGGGAUUUAAACCUGAUGGGGUUGAAAAUGUUGGGUUUUUCGGUGUAUCUCGCGAGAAGGGCGGUAAUUUCUGCGCGGUGAAAUUGUUGGGUUUUUUUCGGUAUAGCUCGUGAAGCUUAGAAUUCUCAGCGCGGUCUUUAGAGAAGUUUAAUUAGAUUCUCGGCGCGGUUGUCAUUGUUUGUUAUAAAAGCUUCGGCAGCAGUGUGCGCAGUGGUAGAUUAUGUUUAGCGUGUCCUCCUGUCUUCCGCAUUUCUUAUCUUUUGUGUAAUUUGUGUUGUCCAUGUAGAACUUGAGAUCUUGUUUUGUGUGUAUGACUUGUGUUGUCUUUCCUAUGUACUAAUGUGUAGCUUCCUUUGUUAAAAUCUAAAAAUUGUUAUAUGUAGAUGUUUUGUAUUAAUUUGUUCAUGUAAGUGUAUAGAAUAGCUACUUUGUACAGUAGUUGUUUGUGUUUUAAUGUUUGUUAGCACCUUGUGUUGUGUGUUUUAAUAUGUCUCUUGUUGUGUGUAAAUUAAUAAUUGUCUAUUGUGUAGUAUCUAGAAAGUGUUAGUUUGUAAAUAAAUUGUGUUGUCCGCGUCUUGUAAAUGUAAACAUGUUAUUUGUUAUCUAUGUUGAGUAGUUGUGUUGCGUCGUGGUUGCCUUGUGCUAGGUGUGCGACAUGUACUUGUGAUGUCUGCUGUGUAGCACUAGUUGUAACUUGUAACUUGUUGUUAUAUCAAUUGUGUUAUCGUUGCAGGUAUAGGAACCAGUAUUGCAACAGCAAUACUUGUAACAUGUAUUGCUAUAGCAAUACUAGUAACACUGUGUUGCAUAGGCAACACAGGUAGUAUGGUAUUGCUAUGGCAGUACAAGUAACAUGUUCUAUUGUUGCAAUACAGUAUGUAUAGGUAUCAAUAAAGAAGUCUUUUAAUA
Dalotia coriaria is the source of this 3274-nucleotide long non-coding RNA. RefSeq lists it as uncharacterized. The transcript is spliced from 3 exons. The record is from RefSeq and is a predicted model, not a curated record. Lineage: Eukaryota; Metazoa; Arthropoda; Insecta; Coleoptera; Staphylinidae.